GUGCUCACUUCGGCAACACAUAUACUAAAAAUUGGAACAAUACAGAGAAGAUUAGCAAUGGCCCCUGUGCAAGGAUGAUGCAAAUUCGUGAAGUGUUCCAUUAUUUA
This is a small nuclear RNA of Pipistrellus kuhlii (Kuhl's pipistrelle), 107 nucleotides long. The record is from RefSeq and is a predicted model, not a curated record. NCBI's taxonomy places the organism in Eukaryota, Metazoa, Chordata, Mammalia, Chiroptera, Vespertilionidae.